This 387-nucleotide ribosomal RNA is filed under the name uncultured eukaryote. RNAcentral's name for it is "SSU rRNA". It matches the Rfam family "Eukaryotic small subunit ribosomal RNA", at positions 587 to 972 of the family's 1831-position model. The record is from RNAcentral.
AGCUCCAAUAGCGUAUACUAACGUUGUUGCAGUUAAAAAGCUCGUAGUUGGAUUUCUGAUGGUGGUUAGAUUGUUGCGACCGCGUGUUGCAUCAACCAUACUAUUGUCAACACAUGCGAUGAGUUGGUGUGGUCAAUUUGGUUUGAUCCGCCAUUUAAUCGCUCGUUUACUUUGAGAAAAUUAGAGUGUUCAAAGCAGGCAUCUUGCCUUGAAUAUGUUAGCAUGGAAUAAUAGCAUAGGACUUUGGUUCUAUUUGUUGGUUGUUCGAGAACCGGAGUAAUGAUUGAUAGGGACGGUUGGGGGCAUCCGUAUUCUCAAGCGAGAGGUGAAAUUCUUGGACCUUGGGAAGACGAACAGCUGCGAAAGCGUUUGCCUAGGACGUUCUCU